AAGAUAUUUUGGACGGUCACGAAAGUGGAGGUUAGGAUCUGCACUAAACAUUUCAAAUCAGUGAGAUUCUUAUUCCUCCACUUACUUGCCUGUUCUCUAUCUGCAUUC
Non-coding RNA from Brugia malayi, 108 nucleotides. The record is from RefSeq and is a predicted model, not a curated record. Lineage: Eukaryota; Metazoa; Nematoda; Chromadorea; Rhabditida; Onchocercidae.